AAACACAGUGAGUGUGUCUGGGGGAACGAUCGAACAAGGAAGGAGGAGGGGGAAACCCUAAACUCAAGAAAUCAGGCAAUUGAAGCCUAAAAUCAUAAGAAAAUCCAGUGCAUGAGCCAUCUUAUCGAUCAUCUAAGCAUACCUAGUGAAGUGCUGGAAAGAAUAAGAACCAUGUCAAGAUGGACCAACUCAUGGGAAGCAAACGGGUCAAAGAGGAGGCAAAGAAACUAGCAUAAACAUGACGAGCACAAGGUAAGUGAUUUCUAUAAUCACUUCUUUAGUUGUUUAAGUAAUAUAAUGUUUUAAUUAUUAAGUUCAUAUGAAGUUGAGGUCAAAUCAAUAGAUUAUUUUGAUAAAUGCACGAAUGGGUCGAAUAAUUCAUAGAUAAAUAACAAGCCGAAUACGUAUAAGUUAAGAAAUUCCUUAACUCGGAUGUUGGACUUCAAGGUCACAUGAUAGAAUAUUAAAUUACAAUCAUAUAGGAAGAAACGUGACGCAAAACGGAUGAAAAAUGAGAGAGUUAUGUCCGUUUCGGUAAGGAUUAAUGGCUACGAAAAGUGCAGAGUUGACACGGCCGGGUGGUGAACUGACACGGCCGGGUGAAGGUUCUGUCAAAAAUAUUAUUUAUGUGAUUUAUGCGCCGUAGGUUGCGGUAUAUUAUCCGUGAAUUACGACGGGCCUCCCAAACAUGAUUUCGAGUGUUUCCUUGACGAUUAUAAGUUGUAAACCCAAGUCUAAGCCUCAUGUAAUUUAUAUAAGAGUGUGUUAGAUGUAUGUAAUGGGGUUGGACAUGUAUUACAUGUAAAUGUAUACAAAAAUACGUACGGAACACGUAGGUAUGAAUACAUGAUUGUAGGUAUGAUUAAAUGUAUUCUAGGUAUGUAGAUGUGUAUGAUUGUAAGAUUGUAUGUGUGCAAGUAUGUGCGAAUGCAUGAUUUGGAUGCACUUGAGAAUUAGCGUUACUAAUAAUGCCCUUGGGUUUGGAAUAUAAGUUAAUUGGAUGCAUUUAAAUGGUUGACGUCCUUUUUAUGAAGAUGUAGUAAAUGAAUAUGUUGAGAUUACGGGUUUGGCUAACCAAGUUAUUAUUGAGUAUGUUUGAAAGUGCAGGUUAUGAAUGUCGGACUUUCAAAGUGUUGAUAUAAUAAUGAAACGGUUGAAUCUUGAAAGGAUAAUCGGAUUGAAGUAACUUAUGCGGUUAGAAUAUGCUGUGGACGUUUUAGUUUAUACAACAUUUUAUGUUUGGUCGUCAUCAUCUACCAACGGGUUAGUUGUUUGAAAAUAUAUGUCAUACCCAUUUAAUUGGGUAAUCGAAUGCGCGAGAGAAAUGAAAGUACAUACACGAAUGGAACUAAAGUGACGGUUUUAUAAGUAAAUAAGUAAAUGACUAACUUUUUAAAGCUUUGUUGUUGAAUGUAGGUAAAUCCUCAAUUCAGGCGACUUGGAGAAUCGGAGCGAGCGCGUGUUCAUGUUAUGUCAUACCAAACGCUUCCGCUAGCUUGUUCAAAUGUUUUUAGUCCAAAAUUUGUUGUAUUGGUUCUUAGUAGUAUUUUGUCGAAUGAAUCGAAGAAUUGUAUCUAGUUUGAUUAUGUUUAAAACAGGGGAAUGCUCGUUUUAUGGACGGGUCAUGCCCAAUUUUUGUUAAAUUAAUGCACCUGCGUUAUU
RNAcentral lists this long non-coding RNA (1662 nucleotides) under Helianthus annuus (common sunflower). RNAcentral describes it as "hypothetical non coding rna". The record is from RNAcentral. Lineage: Eukaryota; Viridiplantae; Streptophyta; Magnoliopsida; Asterales; Asteraceae.